This 601-nucleotide ribosomal RNA is filed under the name uncultured Pseudozyma. RNAcentral describes it as "eukaryotic LSU rRNA". It matches the Rfam family "Eukaryotic large subunit ribosomal RNA", at positions 86 to 668 of the family's 3401-position model. The record is from RNAcentral. Lineage: Eukaryota; Fungi; Basidiomycota; Ustilaginomycetes; Ustilaginales; Ustilaginaceae.
ACGGCGAGUGAAGAGGGAAGAGCCCAAGAUUGAAAGCUGGCGCCUUCGGCGUCCGCAUUGUAAUCUCAAGAAGUGUUUUCCGCUUCGGACCAUGCCUAAGUCCCUUGGAAAAGGGCAUCAUAGAGGGUGAUAAUCCCGUACAUGGCAUGGAGCGCCCGAAGCUUUGUGAUACGCUUUCUAAGAGUCGAGUUGUUUGGGAAUGCAGCUCAAAAUGGGUGGUAAAUGCCAUCUAAGGCUAAAUAUUGGGGAGAGACCGAUAGCGAACAAGUACAGUGAUGGAAAGAUGAAAAGAACUUUGAAAAGAGAGUUAAACAGUACGUGAAAUUGCCAAAAGGGAAGGGUAGGAGGUCAGAGAUGCGUCGCAGGAUUCAGCCUUGCUUUUGCUUGGUGUUUUUCCUGCGUUGCAGGCCAACGUCGGUUUUGGGCACUGGAGAAGGGUAGGAGGAACGUGGCACCUCUCGGGGUGUGUUAUAGCCUCCUACUGGAUACAGCGACCGAGACCGAGGAACGCAGCGUACUCGUAAGAGCGGGCCUUUUGGCACCUUUACGCUUAGGGCGUUGGCAUAAUGGCCCUCUACCACCCGUCUUGAAACACGGACCA